Molecule: long non-coding RNA, 1242 nt
Organism: Syngnathus typhle (broad-nosed pipefish)
Lineage: Eukaryota; Metazoa; Chordata; Actinopteri; Syngnathiformes; Syngnathidae
Exons: 2
Source: RefSeq, a predicted model, not a curated record
AGCAGUCCCUGAAUCCAGAAACCUUGAGGACGUCUGGCCUACCUUUUACGGGCUUGCUCGGCUAAUCUCUCCUGAUGGCUGCAGCCUGCGGAGAACCUGCAGUGCCAUCUGGGAGCGUUGCCAAAAGGAAUGUUCAUGCACGGGGAUGACUGGACGUGAAUAGCCGUGUCUGUGUUGCCCAGCGAGACAAUCAAAUCCACAGUGACAGCAAGUGGGCCAGACAAAAGGCCAGUGUUCUUGCGCAAAUUCAACUACUUUUAGGCUGUCAAAGAGUCAAAAGACAAGAGGGACAGACAAAAAGACAAUAUGAUCUUAUUUUGAAAUUUUAAAGUCUGAACCAGCAGUAAGUUGUCUAAAUAAUGUACAGAAGUUGUUUAAAAAAAAAAAGUAAGCGCAACAAAAGCCACUCGACAGAUGUUUAAACUGACGCCAAAUGCUGUACAGAAGACAUGGUGUGAAAGACAUUUAAUUCACUCACCAUCUGUCAUGUUGCACUCGCAAACAGUUGUGAACGAAUAAAGUAGUUGCAAGGUUAAGGCAGCAUCAAGCAACAAGACAACUCAUUGGAAAGGGGGCUGCUAAAACAUAAAAUUACAAGGAUGACCCUAAACAGAGGCUAUGGAGCCAGGUAGUCAGGGUGGGAGCUGGAAUACACACAACACAUCCUUCACAUGAUCCAGAGGAAGUCAAUCAUUUCUCUGAUUCUGUCAUUAUUUAUUUUUACGGGAGGAUCGCAUGCAUUCUCGGAUUGGACCAAGUAUCGUCCUUGGCCAAGAAGGAAACAUGUUUAAGUUUGAUUUCUUAUGAUUGUUCCUUACUAAAUAAAAACUGAAAAUCACAUCUAUUUUCAAUGUCUGAUGAUCUUCUGAGAUAAAGUCUCAUGAUGUCUUCAAUCGCUCAGACAUGGGGAAAGAACGCAUUGUUUAUGUUUUUAUUUCUGUGGAGACGAGGGCUGCAGCUGGAAUGGUGUCCAUCCCAAAUUAGCAUCCCACUGACAAAAGUAGGUCAAACUGUAGAUGCAUGCAACACACUAACAAAGUCAUCCAGUAGAAAGUUGAUACUUCCUCUCUUUAUUUAUCGGUCAUACGAUGUAUUAGACCGAAUAAUGAUUUUCAAUCACAGACACAUGCUACUUUUAUAACCAGCACGCAUGCCUCGGAUAACUACUUCAAAUCCCUCAAACUCUUCCCAGUCCAAGGGAGGUGCACAUUCCUGAUGAGCUAUCCAACGCUGCCAACAGAA